Molecule: non-coding RNA, 87 nt
Organism: Pisolithus albus
Lineage: Eukaryota; Fungi; Basidiomycota; Agaricomycetes; Boletales; Pisolithaceae
Source: the annotation of a GenBank genome assembly
UGCCCCAUGGCUGAGUUGGUUACAGCGUCCGACUGUUACCAAUAUGAUGACAUCGGAAGGUCGUGAGUUCGAGCCUCACUGGGGCAG